Molecule: transfer-messenger RNA, 385 nt
Filed under: Alphaproteobacteria bacterium
Lineage: Bacteria; Pseudomonadati; Pseudomonadota; Alphaproteobacteria
Rfam family: transfer-messenger RNA
About the family: Bacterial tmRNA, also known as 10Sa RNA or SsrA, is named for its dual tRNA and mRNA-like properties. Its role is to liberate the mRNA from a stalled ribosome.
Source: RNAcentral
GGGCCUGCAAUGGCUUCGACAGGGCAUUGAAAGUUAGAAAUUCGUCCGAGUGAUGACGCAAUCAUCAACCCUAAAAAUAAACGCAAACAAUAGACGUUUAGCAGUAGCCUAGUUGCUACACCAAAACACCGUAAGAUUUCUUGUUAGUAGCGGUUGAGGUUCAAAAACAACAAGUAAUGAGAUUGUUUCUCUGUUUUAACUUCUAAUAAAAACAGAGUGGUGGAAUUAGUAACAACUGUUACUAGCCUGAUAUAUCCAAUGGAGAGCUGAUAAAUCGCCAUAGGUGAAAAUUGGAUAUGAAAUAACCUAAAGGAUUGCAAACGACGUAAAGAUUUCUAAUAAGUAUAUGUUUUGGACACGGGUUCGACUCCCGUCAGGUCCACUU